AACGAACGCUGGCGGCAGGCUUAACACAUGCAAGUCGAGCGCCCCGCAAGGGGAGCGGCAGACGGGUGAGUAACGCGUGGGAAUCUACCCAUCACUACGGAACAACUCCGGGAAACUGGAGCUAAUACCGUAUACGUCCUUCGGGAGAAAGCUUUAUCGGUGAUGGAUGAGCCCGCGUUGGAUUAGCUAGUGGGUGGGGUAAUGGCCCACCAAGGCGACGAUCCAUAGCUGGUCUGAGAGGAUGAUCAGCCACACUGGGACUGAGACACGGCCCAGACUCCUACGGGAGGCAGCAGUGGGGAUUAUUGGACAAUGGGCGCAAGCCUGAUCCAGCCAUGCCGCGUGAGUGAUGAAGGCCCUAGGGUUGUAAAGCUCUUUCACCGGUGAAGAUAAUGACGGUAACCGGAGAAGAAGCCCCGGCUAACUUCGUGCCAGCAGCCGCGGUAA
Molecule: ribosomal RNA, 447 nt
Filed under: uncultured bacterium
Lineage: Bacteria
Description: partial 16S ribosomal RNA
Rfam family: Bacterial small subunit ribosomal RNA
Source: RNAcentral